CCUACGGGUGGCAGCAGUGGGGAAUAUUGGACAAUGGGCGAAAGCCUGAUCCAGCCAUGCCGCGUGUGUGAAGAAGGCCUUCGGGUUGUAAAGCACUUUCAGUGGGGAAGAAAGCCUUGGGGCUAAUACCCUCGAGGAAGGACAUCACCCACAGAAGAAGCACCGGCUAACUCCGUGCCAGCAGCCGCGGUAAUACGGAGGGUGCGAGCGUUAAUCGGAAUUACUGGGCGUAAAGCGCGCGUAGGCGGUCUGAUAAGCCGGUUGUGAAAGCCCCGGGCUCAACCUGGGAACGGCAUCCGGAACUGUCAGGCUAGAGUGCAGGAGAGGAAGGUAGAAUUCCCGGGGUAGCGGUGAAAUGCGUAGAGAUCGGGAGGAAUACCAGUGGCGAAGGCGGUCUUCUGGACUGACACUGACGCUGAGGUGCGAAAGCGUGGGUAGCAAACAGGAUUAGAUACCCUAGUAGUC
RNAcentral lists this ribosomal RNA (465 nucleotides) under Vreelandella stevensii. RNAcentral's name for it is "partial 16S ribosomal RNA". It matches the Rfam family "Bacterial small subunit ribosomal RNA", at positions 338 to 795 of the family's 1533-position model. The record is from RNAcentral. Lineage: Bacteria; Pseudomonadati; Pseudomonadota; Gammaproteobacteria; Oceanospirillales; Halomonadaceae.